This 119-nucleotide ribosomal RNA is filed under the name Danio rerio (zebrafish). Lineage: Eukaryota; Metazoa; Chordata; Actinopteri; Cypriniformes; Danionidae. The record is from RNAcentral.
AUUAGCUGCCAGCUAGCUCUCUGCAACUUUCACAUGGUCGCCCACUGAAGCUAAGCAGGGCUGCACCUGGUCAGGACCUGGAUGGGAGACCACAUGGGAAAGCCAGGUUGCUGCUGGAA